This 222-nucleotide long non-coding RNA is filed under the name Brassica napus (rape). RNAcentral's name for it is "long non-coding RNA (BNAP_LNC024035)". The record is from RNAcentral. Lineage: Eukaryota; Viridiplantae; Streptophyta; Magnoliopsida; Brassicales; Brassicaceae.
UGUCAGGAAGUACAAAGUGCACAAAGGAUUAUUCUCACAGCCAUUCGCAAAGCUUCGAACAGAACGACACUGUAGCAGAGUCGUCGAUCGGCACUGUAGCAGCGUCACUGUUCAUCGCAAAAAAAAAAAAAUAAAUAAAAGAUCCAAGGAAGAAGAGUUGAUAUACCAGCAGUGAUCGACGACAACAUGCCAUUGUGAGUCGACAGAGCAUCACGAGUAUCG